CCAUAGACUUUGGAGUGCGGAACGGGGUUGAGUAACGGGUAGGUAACCUGCCUAUUAGAGGGGGAUAACUAUUGGAAGCGAUAGCUAAUACCGCAUAACAGUAUGUAACACAUGUUAGAUGCUUGAAAGAUGCAAUUGCAUCGCUAGUAGAUGGACCUGCGUUGUAUUAGCUAGUAGGUAGGGUAAAGGCCUACCUAGGCAACGAUACAUAGCCGACCUGAGAGGGUGAUCGGCCACACUGGGACUGAGACACGGCCCAGACUCCUACGGGAGGCAGCAGUAGGGAAUCUUCGGCAAUGGGGGGAACCCUGACCGAGCAACGCCGCGUGAGUGAAGAAGGUUUUCGGAUCGUAAAGCUCUGUUGCUAAGGAAGAACGAGUGUGAGAAUGGAAAGUUCAUACUGUGACGGUACUUAACCAGAAAGGGACGGCUAACUACGUGCCAGCAGCCGCGGUAAUACGUAGGUCCCGAGCGUUGUCCGGAUUUAUUGGGCGUAAAGCGAGCGCAGGCGGUUAGAAAAGUCUGAAGUGAAAGGCAGUGGCUCAACCAUUGUAGGCUUUGGAAACUGUUUAACUUGAGUGCAGAAGGGGAGAGUGGAAUUCCAUGUGUAGCGGUGAAAUGCGUAGAUAUAUGGAGGAACACCGGUGGCGAAAGCGGCUCUCUGGUCUGUAACUGACGCUGAGGCUCGAAAGCGUGGGGAGCGAACAGGAUUAGAUACCCUGGUAGUCCACGCCGUAAACGAUGAGCGCUAGGUGUUAGGUCCUUUCCGGGACUUAGUGCCGUAGCUAACGCAUUAAGCGCUCCGCCUGGGAGUACGA
RNAcentral lists this ribosomal RNA (818 nucleotides) under uncultured Streptococcaceae bacterium. RNAcentral's name for it is "bacterial SSU rRNA". It matches the Rfam family "Bacterial small subunit ribosomal RNA", at positions 78 to 885 of the family's 1533-position model. Lineage: Bacteria; Bacillati; Bacillota; Bacilli; Lactobacillales; Streptococcaceae. The record is from RNAcentral.